RNAcentral lists this ribosomal RNA (193 nucleotides) under Shigella sonnei. RNAcentral describes it as "partial 16S ribosomal RNA". It matches the Rfam family "Bacterial small subunit ribosomal RNA", at positions 1 to 187 of the family's 1533-position model. Lineage: Bacteria; Pseudomonadati; Pseudomonadota; Gammaproteobacteria; Enterobacterales; Enterobacteriaceae. The record is from RNAcentral.
AAAUUGAAGAGUUUGAUCAUGGCUCAGAUUGAACGCUGGCGGCAGGCCUAACACAUGCAAGUCGAACGGUAACAGGAAACAGCUUGCUGUUUCGCUGACGAGUGGCGGACGGGUGAGUAAUGUCUGGGGAACUGCCUGAUGGAGGGGGAUAACUACUGGAAACGGUAGCUAAUACCGCAUAAUGUCGCAAGAC